UCAAGUGUGAGGAGUAAGGUUUGAAGGAAGAGGUACUUGGGGUCGAAACUCGGCCAGACUCCCAAGUGCCUUUUC
RNAcentral lists this small RNA (75 nucleotides) under Limnospira maxima CS-328. RNAcentral's name for it is "Arthrospira maxima CS-328 Cyano-1 RNA". It matches the Rfam family "Cyano-1 RNA". The record is from Rfam by way of RNAcentral. Lineage: Bacteria; Bacillati; Cyanobacteriota; Cyanophyceae; Oscillatoriales; Sirenicapillariaceae.